This 253-nucleotide ribosomal RNA is filed under the name uncultured bacterium. RNAcentral's name for it is "partial 16S ribosomal RNA". It matches the Rfam family "Bacterial small subunit ribosomal RNA", at positions 524 to 776 of the family's 1533-position model. The record is from RNAcentral.
UACGUAGGGGGCAAGCGUUGUCCGGAAUCAUUGGGCGUAAAGCGCGUGUAGGCGGUCCGGUAAGUCCGCUGUGAAAGUCGGGGGCUUAACCCUCGGAUGCCGGUGGAUACUGUCGGGCUUGAGUACGGAAGAGGCGAGUGGAAUUCCUGGUGUAGCGGUGAAAUGCGCAGAUAUCAGGAGGAACACCGGUGGCGAAGGCGGUUCUCUGGGCCUUACCUGACGCUGAGGAGCGAAAGCGUGGGGAGCAAACAGG